This 901-nucleotide ribosomal RNA is filed under the name uncultured bacterium. Its description in RNAcentral is "bacterial SSU rRNA". It matches the Rfam family "Bacterial small subunit ribosomal RNA", at positions 1 to 896 of the family's 1533-position model. The record is from RNAcentral.
CUUACAGUUGGAUCCUGGCUCAUGAUGAACGCUAGCUACAGGCUUAACACAUGCAAGUCGAGGGGAAACGACAUCGAAAGCUUGCUUUUGAUGGGCGUCGACCGGCGCACGGGUGAGUAACGCGUAUCCAACCUGCCUAUCACUUGGGGAUAACCUUGCGAAAGUAAGACUAAUACCCAAUGACGUCUCUAGAAGACAUCUGAAAGAGAUUAAAGAUUUAUCGGUGAUGGAUGGGGAUGCGUCUGAUUAGCUUGUUGGCGGGGUAACGGCCCACCAAGGCUACGAUCAGUAGGGGUUCUGAGAGGAAGGUCCCCCACAUUGGAACUGAGACACGGUCCAAACUCCUACGGGAGGCAGCAGUGAGGAAUAUUGGUCAAUGGACGAGAGUCUGAACCAGCCAAGUAGCGUGCAGGAUGACGGCCCUAUGGGUUGUAAACUGCUUUUAUAAGGGAAUAAAGUGAGUCUCGUGAGACUUUUUGCAUGUACCUUAUGAAUAAGGACCGGCUAAUUCCGUGCCAGCAGCCGCGGUAAUACGGAAGGUCCGGGCGUUAUCCGGAUUUAUUGGGUUUAAAGGGAGCGUAGGCCGGAGAUUAAGCGUGUUGUGAAAUGUAGAUGCUCAACAUCUGCACUGCAGCGCGAACUGGUUUCCUUGAGUACGCACAAAGUGGGCGGAAUUCGUGGUGUAGCGGUGAAAUGCUUAGAUAUCACGAAGAACUCCGAUUGCGAAGGCAGCUCACUGGAGCGCAACUGACGCUGAAGCUCGAAAGUGCGGGUAUCGAACAGGAUUAGAUACCCUGGUAGUCCGCACGGUAAACGAUGGAUGCCCGCUGUUGGUCUGAAUAGGUCAGCGGCCAAGCGAAAGCAUUAAGCAUCCCACCUGGGGAGUACGCCGGCAACGGUG